This 86-nucleotide transfer RNA is filed under the name Pseudomonadota bacterium. RNAcentral's name for it is "Proteobacteria bacterium tRNA-Leu". It matches the Rfam family "tRNA". From Rfam's summary of the family: Transfer RNA (tRNA) molecules are approximately 80 nucleotides in length. Their secondary structure includes four short double-helical elements and three loops (D, anti-codon, and T loops). The record is from RNAcentral. Lineage: Bacteria; Pseudomonadati; Pseudomonadota. RNAcentral also lists the same sequence under 1 other name.
GCCGAAGUGGUGGAAUUGGUAGACACGCUAUCUUGAGGGGGUAGUGGGCAAUGCUCGUGGGGGUUCAAGUCCCCCCUUCGGCACCA